GCCUGGGUGGCUCAGUCGGUUAAGCGUCUGACUUCGGCUCAGGUCGCGAUCUCAUGGUUGGUGGGUUCGAGCCCCGCGUCAGGCU
RNAcentral lists this transfer RNA (85 nucleotides) under Felis catus (domestic cat). It matches the Rfam family "tRNA". Rfam says of the family: Transfer RNA (tRNA) molecules are approximately 80 nucleotides in length. Their secondary structure includes four short double-helical elements and three loops (D, anti-codon, and T loops). The record is from Rfam by way of RNAcentral. Lineage: Eukaryota; Metazoa; Chordata; Mammalia; Carnivora; Felidae.